CCUACGGGAGGCAGCAGUGAGGAAUAUUGGUCAAUGGACGAGAGUCUGAACCAGCCAAGUAGCGUGAAGGAUGACUGCCCUAUGGGUUGUAAACUUCUUUUAUAAAGGAAUAAAACGAGGUACGUGUGCCUUUUUGCAUGUACUUUAUGAAUAAGGAUCGGCUAACUCCGUGCCAGCAGCCGCGGUAAUACGGAGGAUCCGAGCGUUAUCCGGAUUUAUUGGGUUUAAAGGGAGCGUAGAUGGGUUGUUAAGUCAGUUGUGAAAGUUUGCGGCUCAACCGUAAAAUUGCAAUUGAUACUGGCAGUCGUGAGUACAGUUGAGGUAGGCGGAAUUCGUGGUGUAGCGGUGAAAUGCUUAGAUAUCACGAAGAACCCCGAUUGCGAAGGCAGCUUACUAAACUGUGACUGACAUUGAUGCUCGAAAGUGUGGGUAUCAAACAGGAUUAGAUACCCUUGUAGUC
RNAcentral lists this ribosomal RNA (460 nucleotides) under uncultured bacterium. Its description in RNAcentral is "partial 16S ribosomal RNA". It matches the Rfam family "Bacterial small subunit ribosomal RNA", at positions 338 to 795 of the family's 1533-position model. The record is from RNAcentral.